This 253-nucleotide ribosomal RNA is filed under the name uncultured bacterium. RNAcentral's name for it is "partial 16S ribosomal RNA". It matches the Rfam family "Bacterial small subunit ribosomal RNA", at positions 524 to 776 of the family's 1533-position model. The record is from RNAcentral.
UACGUAGGGUGCAAGCGUUAAUCGGAAUUACUGGGCGUAAAGCGUGCGCAGGCGGUUGUGCAAGACAGAUGUGAAAUGCCCGGGCUUAACCUGGGAACUGCAUUUGUGACUGCAUGGCUAGAGUUUGGCAGAGGGGGGUAGAAUUCCACGUGUAGCAGUGAAAUGCGUAGAUAUGUGGAGGAACACCGAUGGCGAAGGCAGCCCCCUGGGUCAAGACUGACGCUCAUGCACGAAAGCGUGGGGAGCAAACAGG